This 95-nucleotide ribosomal RNA is filed under the name Debaryomyces hansenii. Its description in RNAcentral is "partial 28S ribosomal RNA". It matches the Rfam family "Eukaryotic large subunit ribosomal RNA", at positions 1 to 96 of the family's 3401-position model. Lineage: Eukaryota; Fungi; Ascomycota; Pichiomycetes; Serinales; Debaryomycetaceae. The record is from RNAcentral.
UUGACCUCAAAUCAGGUAGGAUUACCCGCUGAACUUAAGCAUAUCAAUAAGCGGAGGAAAAGAACCAACAGGGAUUGCUUAGUAACGGCGAGUGA